GCUUUUCCCAUCCAAAAAGCAUCCCCCCUCCUCUCCACAAGGGUGAGUACGAUGGGUGGAGGUCAAGGUGGGCGAAGUAUUGUCAGGUGUCCUUGGAGCCAAUAGUCUGGGGAUGCGAUUUUGGCCUCUCCUACUGCUGCUGAAGGGGAGGUGCUGAAACUACAACAUAGCCUGAAGAAAUGAAACAAAAUUAACAGAAGGAAAAGAAAGAAUGCUAAGAAAUUAUAAUGACUAUUGGCCCUGGAGAAGAGAUGAGAAGAUGCGCUUCCCUGCCUCCUCUCAAGAGGGAUAGUUUGCUGGAUGGGGAAGAGGAGAGAGUCAUUCAGAAAUGAACGUUAUGUAAAAAGUAAGGAAAUGGAAGUCUCUUAGCCAAGAAAACUUCAUGGGCAAAAUGGUCGUCCAUGAGAUAGUGAAGAAUCAGAGCAACAAUAAAAAUAUUCCUGGAACUGGCCAAGGUGCUAGAAAUAAAAAGAUGAAAAUGAAGUCUCUGCCUUCAAGGAGCUUACGCCUUAGCUACUGUUUCAGGAGACAAGUAUUCAAAUACAAGCAUAAAUAAGAUACACACACACAUAAAUAUAUAUACCAAAUACAUAUAUAGCUGAUAGAAGGUAAUCCUGGAGGAACAAAGGAAACCAGCAUUUAUUAUGCAUCUAAUACUGUGUAUCAGGCACUGUGUUAAGUACUUUACAAAUAUUAUCUCAUUUAAUCUUCACAACAACCCUUGGAGGUAGAUACAUGUAUUAUCC
This is a non-coding RNA of Monodelphis domestica (gray short-tailed opossum), 746 nucleotides long. NCBI's taxonomy places the organism in Eukaryota, Metazoa, Chordata, Mammalia, Didelphimorphia, Didelphidae. The record is from RefSeq and is a predicted model, not a curated record.